UGUCUUUGCUAGCAAAAUUGUCAAGGCCAGCUAAUUGAAAUUUUACGCUCUUGUUGAGUGAUUUGUUACAGUGAUAGUGAUAGUUCGUUUUAAGGUUAUUUACCCACGGAGAAGAUCGUCUUUCAGGCGGAAGCACAUACUGGAUAAUUUCUGAAAUAUUUGAAAAAUAUGUUUUUCUGCCAAAGAAAAAAAAACAUAAGUCUAUAUUAGAGUUGUUACACACACAUGCAGUUGAUUUCGUAAAUUUUCGAAAACAAGCAAUACAUUCAUGACAAACUGUUUUUCUCAUUAUGUAGGAGCUGCCAAAUGUUGAGCAUGGGCCAGAUUGACCAUGAUUGAGUCGUUUUGAAUCUCUAGUCGAAGUUUGCCUUUCAGCAGGAACCAUAAAGGUUUUACACACCCAUGCAGAGAAGAAUCUGAGGCUACAUUACAGAUUUUAAACUGACAUGCAGGUGACUUUAUGUUAUCGGAAAGAAGCCAAGUAAAAAAGAAGAACCUGAGGCUAUACUACAGGUUUUACACACACAUCGGGUGAUUUAAUGUUAUCGGAAAUAAGCCAAGUAAAAUCUAAUGAAAACUGUUGUCCAAUGAUAUAGGAGCUGUCAAAUUUUGAGCAUAACUUAAUGACGAAAUUCUUUAUAGUAACGCUCGAGUUAUUCUGGCUACGGAUAUAGUCAGCUUAGGACUCGUUAUUCCUACGUUACCGCUGAUCAUCGAUCACAAUCUUACAUCCGAAGUCUAACACCACAGAAAACGUGCCUCUUGCUAGAGACAUUGGUUCGGCGACGUUAAUCAACCCAACCAAAAUCACAAGAGCUCAACAAAUUCAACAUCACAGGAAAAGAAGUCAUCACAAUUUUAAGAAAGUGGCUAUUGGUGUCUGUGACGAAAAGACAACAGGAAAUCUAGUUGGGCCAGCCAGAUAUUCGUGUCAGGGGAAAAACGAAGCUUAUACGGUUCAACCUCAUCUGCCGCAAAUAUAACUUUUGAUUCGGAUUAACGCCUGUAACGUUGUCGAGAAAUACAAUUAUUAGA
This is a long non-coding RNA of Daphnia pulex (common water flea), 1035 nucleotides long. RefSeq lists it as uncharacterized. The transcript is spliced from 5 exons. The record is from RefSeq and is a predicted model, not a curated record. Lineage: Eukaryota; Metazoa; Arthropoda; Branchiopoda; Diplostraca; Daphniidae.